Molecule: ribosomal RNA, 487 nt
Filed under: uncultured bacterium
Lineage: Bacteria
Description: bacterial SSU rRNA
Rfam family: Bacterial small subunit ribosomal RNA
Source: RNAcentral
GUAACCUGGCGGCGUGCUUACACAUGCAGUCGAACGAUGAACCUCACUUGUGGGGGGAUUAGUGGCGAACGGGUGAGUAACACGUGAGUAACCUGCCCUUGACUCUGGGAUAAGCCUGGGAAACCGGGUCUAAUACUGGAUACGACCUUCCCGCGCAUGCGGUGUUGGUGGAAAGCUUUUGCGGUUUUGGAUGGACUCGCGGCCUAUCAGCUUGUUGGCGGGGUAAUGGCCUACCAAGGCGACGACGGGUAGCCGGCCUGAGAGGGUGACCGGCCACACUGGGACUGAGACACGGCCCAGACUCCUACGGGAGGCAGCAGUGGGGAAUAUUGCACAAUGGGCGGAAGCCUGAUGCAGCGACGCCGCGUGAGGGAUGAAGGCCUUCGGGUUGUAAACCUCUUUCAGUAGGGAAGAAGCCGGCUUUCGGGUUGGUGACGGUACCUGCAGAAGAAGCGCCGGCUAACUACGUGCCAGCAGCCGCGGUAAU